RNAcentral lists this transfer RNA (72 nucleotides) under Bacteroidota bacterium. Its description in RNAcentral is "Bacteroidetes bacterium tRNA-Thr". It matches the Rfam family "tRNA". Rfam says of the family: Transfer RNA (tRNA) molecules are approximately 80 nucleotides in length. Their secondary structure includes four short double-helical elements and three loops (D, anti-codon, and T loops). Lineage: Bacteria; Pseudomonadati; Bacteroidota. RNAcentral also lists the same sequence under 2 other names. The record is from RNAcentral.
GCCAACGUAGCUCAGCGGUAGAGCACUUCCUUGGUAAGGAAGAGGUCGUGAGUUCAAUCCUCAUCGUUGGCU